AUACGUAAGGUGCGAGCGUUGUCCGGAAUUACUGGGCGUAAAGAGCUCGUAGGUGGUUUGUCGCGUCGUCUGUGAAAUUCCGGGGCUUAACUCCGGGCGUGCAGGCGAUACGGGCAUAACUUGAGUACUGUAGGGGAGACUGGAAUUCCUGGUGUAGCGGUGAAAUGCGCAGAUAUCAGGAGGAACACCGGUGGCGAAGGCAGGUCUCUGGGCAGUAACUGACGCUGAGGAGCGAAAGCAUGGGUAGCGAACAGGAUUAGAUACCCUGGUAGUCCAUGCCGUAAACGGUGGGCGCUAGGUGUAGGGGUCUUCCACGACUUCUGUGCCGUAGCUAACGCAUUAAGCGCCCCGCCUGGGGAGUACGGCCGCAAGGCUAAAACUCAAAGGAAUUGACGGGG
This 398-nucleotide ribosomal RNA is filed under the name uncultured bacterium. RNAcentral's name for it is "partial 16S ribosomal RNA". It matches the Rfam family "Bacterial small subunit ribosomal RNA", at positions 523 to 918 of the family's 1533-position model. The record is from RNAcentral.